UACGUAGGGGGCGAGCGUUGUCCGGAAUUAUUGGGCGUAAAGAGCGUGUAGGCUGUUCGGUAAGUCUGCCGUGAAAACCUGAGGCUCAACCUCGGGCGUGCGGUGGAUACUGCCGGGCUAGAGGACGGUAGAGGCGAGUGGAAUUCCCGGUGUAGUGGUGAAAUGCGUAGAUAUCGGGAGGAACACCAGUGGCGAAGGCGACUACCUGGCCUGUUCUUGACGCUGAGGCGCGAAAGCUAGGGGAGCAAACGGG
Molecule: ribosomal RNA, 253 nt
Filed under: uncultured bacterium
Lineage: Bacteria
Description: partial 16S ribosomal RNA
Rfam family: Bacterial small subunit ribosomal RNA
Source: RNAcentral